Molecule: long non-coding RNA, 1643 nt
Organism: Gallus gallus (chicken)
Lineage: Eukaryota; Metazoa; Chordata; Aves; Galliformes; Phasianidae
Exons: 2
Source: RefSeq, a predicted model, not a curated record
GGCUACAAAGCAGAAUGCAUGCACACAACUGGUGGGACUAAAGGAGCAGCGCCAAGGAAGCAUUUAUCUUCAUGUUAUCUCCUAAUUUAAGAUCCAUUCUGGCAAAACUUCACUUCUUCUGCUUAAGCUGCAAUGUCAAGCUGCAAAUAUUCAGCAGCUGAGGAGCCGAGCUGACAAAUUUUGGUCUGAAACAUCCGCAGACAUGACAGCAGUAGCCUCUUACUGAAGCUAUUUGGAGCCGGCCACAGAUCUGGGCACUCAAGGCUCUGCCAAAGUCUCACUCAGCGGACACUGAGCACAUAUGCCACUGGUACACCCUGGGGACAUGUCACCUUGACUCACCCUGUGCUGUCACUAUGCUGGUUCUGCAGCCUCUAGCUACACAUGCCAGUGCCCUAGAGCUGUGGCAGGAGGUUGCAGUGGUAAGGCAAAGGUGAAAAACAUCUCCUGAAAGUGAAAAUCGAUUUUGCUAAUGCUAUCCUGGCCAGAACUCUCAGCCCACUUCUCCACAUUAAAGAAGGAUUUUAUGGAAGAUUGGGAUGGCAGUAGGGGAUGACCACAUUCCAUCGUCUUGAUCCAGGAAGACUUUGUCUGCUCACAAGCUCAGGUAAUGCAAAAGAACAGUGAGUGACUUACUUAGGCUCUUUGCUGUGCAAGGCAAGAAGUUCUGCCACGUUUUCACUCUGAAGUUUUCACAGCUUCAGCAUUAAAAUGCCUCACAUGAAAGGAUGUUCAUCUUUUCUUUCUCCACAGCAUAAGCCACAGCUUGUGGAAGCCAAAGGCUUAAAGCGUGAUAUAGGACCAUACUGCUAUAUCUCUGUCAGCUGAGGUUUAGAAAAAACAAAUGCACAAAACCCAAAACCUCCCCCUAAACCCAUAAAUACUGCAGUCUGCAAAGCAAGGGUUGAAGUGUGAACUGCACUGUUCUCAUGGUGGGGAGGAGAGGAAACAACUUAUACCAUUGUAGUUACUGCUGUUAAUGCCAAGAUUCAAAGAAGAAAGAAGAUGAUUAGGGUAUGUUAGUCAGGCUCAAAGACCUGCUUCUGUCUCUUUCUGCUACUGGCACUUGUAUUUCAUAGUAUAUUGUGUGUCCAUGUCACUGAGAACUUGUCCCCGAGAGACAAGUUCUCUCAGGGACAAGACUGAUAGUAGACAUAAUAUUGUCUGUUCUCCUACAGUCUGUGUUAAAUCAAUAUUGCCCAGAGAAGUUGUGGAUGUCCCAUUCUGGAGAUGUUCAAGGCCGGGUUUGAUGGAGCUUUGGGCAGCCUACUGUAGUGGGAAAUGUCCCUGCUCAUGGCAGGCAGUUGAAACUGGGUGACCUUUAAGUCCUCUUCAAACCAUUCUAUGGUUGUAUGAUAUCCAAGCUUUAGUCAUUGGCCUAAACCAUCCUAGGCACUUGAAGGCAGGCCUUCAUUUAACUUUUCAGUUCCUAUGCUUAUGUUUCAUAGCAUUGUGGAUUUGGAAUAGCUUUACCCUAUGCAAACACAUAAAUCUUGCACGUUGCUAGUCAUUGGAUUAGAGUUUAGUUUUCCAUUUUUUUUUUUUUUUGUUAGUAGCUACUCUUAAGUAGAGCAUCAGUGUAUUGCCAUGUAAAUCAAUGGACACAUUCUUCAGUCUCAGCAGAAAAUAAACUUAUAUACAAA